UACGGAGGAUGCGAGCGUAAUCCGGAUUUAUUGGGUUUAAAGGGUGCGUAGGCGGGCUUUUAAGUCAGCGGUAAAAAUUCGGGGCUCAACCCCGUCCGGCCGUUGAAACUGGGGGCCUUGAGUGGGCGAGAAGAAGGCGGAAUGCGUGGUGUAGCGGUGAAAUGCAUAGAUAUCACGCAGAACCCCGAUUGCGAAGGCAGCCUUCCGGCGCCCUACUGACGCUGAGGCACGAAAGUGCGGGGAUCGAACAGG
Molecule: ribosomal RNA, 252 nt
Filed under: uncultured bacterium
Lineage: Bacteria
Description: partial 16S ribosomal RNA
Rfam family: Bacterial small subunit ribosomal RNA
Source: RNAcentral